GUCAUUUAAAGCUGGAUGAUGAGGUCAUGAUGGAAGAGUCAUUUAAAGCUGGAUGAUGAGGUCAUGAUGGAAGAGUCAUUUAAAGCUGGAUGAAGAGGUCAUGAUGGAAGAGUCAUUUAAAGCUGGAUGAAGAGGUCAUGAUGGAAGAGUCAUUUAAAGCUGGAUGAAGAGGUCAUGAUGGAAGAGUCAUUUAAAGCUGGAUGAUGAGGUCAUGAUGGAAGAGUCAUUUAAAGCUGGAUGAAGAGGUCAUGAUGGAAGAGUCAUUUAAAGCUGGAUGAUGAGGUCAUGAUGGAAGAGUCAUUUAAAGCUGGAUGAUGAGGUCAUGAUGGAAGAGUCAUUUAAAGCUGGAUGAAGAGGUCAUGAUGGAAGAGUCAUUUAAAGCUGGAUGAAGAGGUCAUGAUGGAAGAGUCAUUUAAAGCUGGAUGAUGAGGUCAUGAUGGAAGAGUCAUUUAAAGCUGGAUGAAGAGGUCAUGAUGGAAGAGUCAUUUAAAGCUGGAUGAAGAGGUCAUGAUGGAAGAGUCAUUUAAAGCUGGAUGAAGAGGUCAUGAUGGAAGAGUCAUUUAAAGCUGGAUGAUGAGGUCAUGAUGGAAGAGUCAUUUAAAGCUGGAUGAAGAGGUCAUGAUGGAAGAGUAAUUUAAAGCUGGAUGAAGAGGUCAUGAUGGAAGAGUCAUUUAAAGCUGGAUGAUGAGGUCAUGAUGGAAGAGUCAUUUAAAGCUGGAUGUAAGAGGUCAUGGAUAGACAGUUUUUUGGACAGGAAUCUCCUGAGUGUUUGAAAGAUGAAUGAUGGUAGUUUACCCGACCGCUAAAGACCCAGACUGUUCCUCAAUUCAUCAUGUCUUUAUCUCAUGGAACUACCCUCUAUACUUCUUGGUCUUCAGAGAUUCACUUUCACAGGUGAGAAACAGGCCCAGUGUGGAGCCUGGGACAUGUUUAACACCUCAGUACAGAGUAGCACAGCAACUCAUUCACACCACAGUUCCACUGUGGUAAAACAACUCAUUCACACCAUAGUACCAGAGUGGUAAAACAACUCAUUCGCACUAGAGGUCUUCAUGGGUCCAAAAAGUUGGAGGGGGAUGGGCCGUACUGUGAGUGACAUGGGUAGCAGAGAGGGAGAUAUGUUCCGCUCUACCAGGAGGGGGAUGGGCCGUACUGCAGUGCAU
Molecule: long non-coding RNA, 1163 nt
Organism: Oncorhynchus keta (chum salmon)
Lineage: Eukaryota; Metazoa; Chordata; Actinopteri; Salmoniformes; Salmonidae
Exons: 3
Source: RefSeq, a predicted model, not a curated record